RNAcentral lists this non-coding RNA (29 nucleotides) under Mus musculus (house mouse). The record is from RNAcentral. Lineage: Eukaryota; Metazoa; Chordata; Mammalia; Rodentia; Muridae.
UCAGCAAGUUAGGAAUCGAUUAAGCCACU